Molecule: ribosomal RNA, 467 nt
Filed under: uncultured bacterium
Lineage: Bacteria
Description: partial 16S ribosomal RNA
Rfam family: Bacterial small subunit ribosomal RNA
Source: RNAcentral
GACGAACGCUGGCGGCGUGCUUAACACAUGCAAGUCGAACGGAAAGGCCCUGCUUUUGUGGGGUGCUCGAGUGGCGAACGGGUGAGUAACACGUGAGUAACCUGCCCUUGACUUUGGGAUAACUUCAGGAAACUGGGGCUAAUACCGGAUAGGAGCUCCUGCUGCAUGGUGGGGGUUGGAAAGUUUCGGCGGUUGGGGAUGGACUCGCGGCUUAUCAGCUUGUUGGUGGGGUAGUGGCUUACCAAGGCUUUGACGGGUAGCCGGCCUGAGAGGGUGACCGGCCACAUUGGGACUGAGAUGCGGCCCAGACUCCUACGGGGGGCAGCAGUGGGGAAUAUUGCACAAUGGGCGGAAGCCUGAUGCAGCAACGCCGCGUGCGGGAUGACGGCCUUCGGGUUGUACACCGCUUUCGCCUGUGACGAAGCGUGAGUGACGGUAAUGGGUAAAGAAGCACCGGCUAACUACGU